Molecule: ribosomal RNA, 322 nt
Filed under: Klebsiella pneumoniae
Lineage: Bacteria; Pseudomonadati; Pseudomonadota; Gammaproteobacteria; Enterobacterales; Enterobacteriaceae
Also listed under: 1 other name
Description: partial 23S ribosomal RNA
Rfam family: Bacterial large subunit ribosomal RNA
Source: RNAcentral
GCUAGGGGGUCAUCCCGACUUACCAACCCGAUGCAAACUACGAAUACCGAAGAAUGUUAUCACGGGAGACACACGGCGGGUGCUAACGUCCGUCGUGAAGAGGGAAACAACCCAGACCGCCAGCUAAGGUCCCAAAGUCAUGGUUAAGUGGGAAACGAUGUGGGAAGGCACAGACAGCCAGGAUGUUGGCUUAGAAGCAGCCAUCAUUUAAAGAAAGCGUAAUAGCUCACUGGUCGAGUCGGCCUGCGCGGAAGAUGUAACGGGGCUAAACCAUGCACCGAAGCUGCGGCAGCGACACUAUGUGUUGUUGGGUAGGGGAGCG